This 109-nucleotide small RNA is filed under the name Marmota monax (woodchuck). Lineage: Eukaryota; Metazoa; Chordata; Mammalia; Rodentia; Sciuridae. The record is from RNAcentral.
GCCAGGCACAGUGGUGCAUGCCUGUAAUCCUAGAGACUCUGGAGGCUGAGGCAGGAGGAUUGCAAGUUUGAGGUCAGUCUCAGCAAUUUAGCAAGACCCUAAGCAUCUU